UACGAAGGGGACUAGCGUUGUUCGGAUUUACUGGGCGUAAAGCGCGCGUAGGCGGAUCGCUAAGUCAGGGGUGAAAUCCCAGGGCUCAACCCUGGAACUGCCUUUGAUACUGACGAUCUGGAGAUCGGGAGAGGUUGGUGGAAUUCCGAGUGUAGAGGUGAAAUUCGUAGAUAUUCGGAGGAACACCAGAAGCGAAGGCGGCCAACUGGCCCGAUACUGACGCUGAGGCGCGAAAAGCGUGGGGAGCAAACAGG
RNAcentral lists this ribosomal RNA (254 nucleotides) under uncultured bacterium. RNAcentral describes it as "partial 16S ribosomal RNA". It matches the Rfam family "Bacterial small subunit ribosomal RNA", at positions 524 to 776 of the family's 1533-position model. The record is from RNAcentral.